GGACCAUUCCAACACCCCGCCCCACACGCGGUUCACUUCACCUCUCGUCGUCCCGACCACUAUUCCACGGUCCAAAACACUGAAACCCAUCACCCUUCCCUCGCCGCCGUCGGUCCCCGUAGACCCUGACCGCGGUGCCGUUGACCGACCGGCGCGGCCCUGCCCCCCCGCGCGUAGGACGGCUCCGGUUCCACGGCCGUGGAGCCCGCCGUGACUUCCCAGCCAUUUUGGUUCGGCAGCGACUUCUCAGGCAGGCAUUUUGGUUCGGCACGUCCACAUCGCCGUCCUCCCUCGUCUCCCGACUCCGUGGUAUAAACAACUGCCAGCAAAGAUCGCGCUACCUUCCAUUGCCGCUCUUUUGUCCGUUGGGCGCGUCUGUUUCCCCGGCAGGCGGAUCCUCCUGGUGCCUCCAGACGGCAUAUAUAUCCGCUCUCGCCGCGCCAACGCCGAGAGGGAUGCGCCAUUCGUGGGCCGGUGAACCCUGAGCGCGCGGCGGCUCCACCCACCGAUCACAGGAACCACUGUAUACCCGGAUAACAAAAGGUUGUUCCAGUAGCAGAGAUGGUUCAUCAUAUAUCUGACGAGGCAGCAGAUGAACCUAGCAUCACCACACAGACACCCUCCAAUGACCCAUCUCAAGCACCGCUGGUGUACAAAGUGGGCUAUCCCCCUCCCAAGAACUUGGCCACAGAAUUUACAGAAACAUUGAGAGAGACUUUCUUCCACGACAACCCGCUGCGUCAGUACAAGGGCCAAUCCGGACCGAGGAGGUUCAUGAUGGGGCUGGAGUUCUUGUUUCCAAUAUUUGGGUGGGGUAGGGAUUAUAGUCUCAACAAGUUCAAAGGCGAUCUGAUUGCCGGAUUGACCAUCGCAAGCCUCUGCAUUCCUCAGGACAUUGGCUAUUCGAAGCUUGCUAAUUUGGAUCCGCAGUAUGGGCUUUACUCCAGCUUCAUUCCCCCAUUGAUCUAUGCUGCAAUGGGUAGCUCAAGGGAUAUAGCGAUUGGCCCGGUUGCCGUGGUUUCUCUUUUGAUAGGUUCACUUCUACAAGCUGAGGUUGACCAUGUCAAAAACAAGGAGGAAUACAUGCGCCUCGCUUUCACGGCAACCUUCUUCGCUGGCAUCACUCAAGCAGCCUUAGGAUUUCUAAGGUUAGGGUUCCUUAUAGAGUUCUUGUCACAUGCUGCAAUUGUCGGAUUCAUGGGGGGAGCUGCCAUUACUAUUGCCCUGCAGCAGCUGAAAUACGUGUUGGGUAUCGCAAACUUUACAAGGAAAACCGACAUAGUUUCUGUUAUGGAAUCUGUCUGGAGAUCAGUUCAUCACGGGUGGAACUGGCAGACAAUUGUGAUUGGCGUAUCUUUCCUGGUUUUCCUUCUGUUUGCGAAGUACAUCGGAAAGAAGAAAAGGAAGCUUUUCUGGGUGCCAGCUAUUGCUCCUAUAAUUUCAGUGAUUCUAGCAACAUUUUUUGUAUACAUUACUCGUGCCGACAAGCAAGGUGUUCAGAUAGUAAAGCACAUUGAACAGGGAAUCAACCCAUCAUCAGUACACAUGAUUUAUUUCACCGGUCCGUUUGUUGCAAAAGGUUUCAAGAUCGGUGUUGUUUGCGGCAUAGUUGGUUUGACAGAAGCUGUAGCUAUUGGAAGGACAUUUGCUGCUAUGAAGGACUACCAGCUAGAUGGAAACAAGGAGAUGGUAGCACUUGGAACCAUGAACAUAGUAGGAUCAAUGACAUCUUGCUAUGUCACAACAGGUUCUUUCUCACGUUCGGCAGUUAACUUCAUGGCUGGCUGCAAGACUCCUGUAUCCAAUGUGGUUAUGUCAGUGGUGGUUCUUCUUACCUUGUUGGUCAUCACACCGCUAUUCAAAUACACACCGAAUGCAAUCCUAGGGUCGAUCAUCAUUUCUGCGGUGAUCGGCCUUGUGGACUAUGAAGCAGCAAUUCUCAUAUGGAAAGUUGACAAAUUGGACUUCAUUGCUUGCAUGGGAGCAUUUUUCGGUGUUGUUUUUGUAUCCGUUGAGAUUGGCCUCUUGAUUGCUGUAGCAAUCUCAUUUGCCAAAAUACUUCUUCAAGUAACAAGGCCAAGGACAGCCCUACUUGGAAACCUUCCCGGCACCACAAUAUACAGGAACAUCAGCCAGUAUCCAGAAGCAAAACUUACUCCCGGGGUGGUGAUUGUGAGGGUUGAUUCUGCUAUUUAUUUUUCCAACUCUAAUUACGUCCGAGAAAGAAUUCUUAGGUGGCUGACAGACGAAGAAGAUAGAGCUAAAGCACUGGGAUUGCCUAAAAUCAGUUCCUUGAUCGUGGAAAUGUCGCCCGUUAUCGACAUCGAUACAAGUGGCAUACACGCUCUUGAAGAUCUAUACAAGAAUCUUCAGAAAAGAGAUAUGCAGCUCAUUCUGUCGAAUCCUGGUUCCGUCGUCAUAGAAAAACUGCAAGCAUCCAAGCUCACCGAGCACAUUGGAAGCAGUCAUAUAUUCCUCGCAGUCUCUGACGCUGUGCGAUUCUGUACGACGAAGUCGAUGCAGGAACCGUGAGCGAAGUAUUUCGGAGGAAUGGCUGGUGCUGCCAUGGUGCUAGUGUUGAUAAUAGUUUUGGUGCUCCCUGUGAUCUAAGCUGGGCAGCGCAAGAUGAUGUGGCUUUGUGGCCGAUGUAGAAACAUAUAAUAAGUUCAGGCAAUCACCGGAGCCUCUCCGGUUUACUAAAUACUACUCCCUCCCUCCGUUCACCAUUAUAGGAUGUUCUAACUUUUUUCUGAAACAGAUGUAUAUAGCCGUAUUUUAGUGUAUUUGUUCACUCAUUUCAGUCCAUAUGUAGUCCAUAUUGAAAUAUAAAAAAUAUCUUAAUAGUGAACGGAGGGAGUAGAAGAUAAGGUUUAGAAGUGCUCCUCUACUGAGUAUGAACGAAGUAAAUUAUGGAACUCGCGGCGGAUCUUCCUCAAGUAUGUACAGAUAUAAAUAAAAGAUUGACGUGGGAUCUCGGUGCAUU
This 2983-nucleotide ribosomal RNA is filed under the name Triticum aestivum (bread wheat). Its description in RNAcentral is "partial small subunit ribosomal RNA". Lineage: Eukaryota; Viridiplantae; Streptophyta; Magnoliopsida; Poales; Poaceae. The record is from RNAcentral.